Schizosaccharomyces pombe (fission yeast) is the source of this 286-nucleotide non-coding RNA. The record is from the annotation of a GenBank genome assembly. NCBI's taxonomy places the organism in Eukaryota, Fungi, Ascomycota, Schizosaccharomycetes, Schizosaccharomycetales, Schizosaccharomycetaceae.
UUUUGAGACUCCGCUAAAGCCAAGCAAUGGUCAUACAUUGAUCUGGAAUUGCUAUGAAUGGCCUUGCUUUUACUGUCAAGCAGUUGAGAUCCAUUUUCAACUGUCUUUUGAAUCCUUUCUUUAUUGGCACCCACGAUUUCUGCUUGUGAAGCCGCAUUCCGUAAAAACUCUUCUGAACGGUUAUUCAUAAUUUCGUUUGCUUUCCUUAUAUUCGAGUUUGUAUCAUUGAGAUGUGAAUGUAAGAUAUCCGCUUUGGUAUACAAAGAUUCGUUCUGUUCCUGUAAAA